GUACUUGAUAUGGCAACACAUACACUAAAAUUGGAAUGAUACAGAGGAGAUUAAUAUGCUCCCCUGCACAAGGAUGAAAUGCAAAUUCGUGAAGCAUUCCAUAUUUUU
Small nuclear RNA from Tupaia belangeri (northern tree shrew), 108 nucleotides. The record is from Ensembl. NCBI's taxonomy places the organism in Eukaryota, Metazoa, Chordata, Mammalia, Scandentia, Tupaiidae.